UCUUAGAGUUUGAUCCUAGCUCAGGGUGAACGCUGGCGGCGUGGAUAAGGCAUGCAAGUCGAAUGGUCGUUCCUCACUCCGUUCGUCACAACCCGCAGAACAUAGCAGAUCGUACGCAGAAGAACGCGGAAAUCCGUAUAAUAGUGAAUUCCGCAUAGUUCAGCGUGCAGUCCGCAUAGUUCCGCGUGGGAGCGACGAGUGAAGCGAGGAGCGACCAUGGCAGACGAGGUAGGAACACGUAAGUACGUACCCCAGAGUCGGGCAUACCCCGGAGAAAUCCGGAAUAAUUCCCGAUAGUCUCUACGGAGUAAAGUUUUUCGCUCUGGGAGCGGCUUGCGCAGUAUCAGCUUGUUGGUGCGGUAACGGCGUACCAAGGCUAUGACGCUUAGGGGGAGUGAGAGCUCGAUCCCCACCGAUGGAACUGAGACACGGUCCAUACUCCUACGGGAGGCCGCAGUCGAGAAUCAUCCGCAAUGGGCGAAAGCCUGACGGUGCGACGCCGCGUGAUCGAUGACGCCUUUCGGGGUGUAAAGAUCUUUUAUGGGGGAAGAAAUCAUUGACGCUACCCCAUGAAUAAGGGGCUCCUAAUUCCGUGCCAGCAGGAGCGGUCAUACGGAAGCCUCGAGCGUUACCCGGAAUCACUGGGCGUAAAGGGUGCGUAGGCGGCUGUAUUAGUCUCGUGUUAAAGACCGGAGCUCAACUCCGGGAGUGCGCGGGAAACGGUACAGCUUGAGGGCGAGAGAGGUGUACGGAACUCAUGGUGUAGGGGUGAAAUCCGUUGAUAUCAUGGGGAACACCAACAGCGAAGGCAGUACACUGGCUCGUUCCUGACGCUGAGGCACGAAAGCGUGGGUAGCGAACGGGAUUAGAUACCCCGGUAGUCCAUGCCCUAAACUCUCCUAACUAGCCUUACGGAGUAUCGACCCUCUGUGAGGCGAAGCUAACGCGUUAAGUUAGGCGCCUGGGAAGUACGAGCGCAAGCUUAAAACUCAAAGGAAUAGACGGGGACUCGCACAAGCAGUGGAUCAUGUGGCUUAAUUCGUAGCUAAACGAAGAACCUUACCAAGGCUAGACAUCUAGGGGAACUCUCUGAGAAAUCGGAGGGGCCUUCGGGCUCCUAGACAGGUGCUGCAUGGCCGUCGUCAGUUCGUGGCUUGAGUUGUUCCGUUAAGUCGGGAAACGAACGCAACCCCUAUUGCCUGUUACAAGUGUCAGGCGAGACUGCCCGUUUUUGGGAGGAAGGUGGGGAUGACGCCAGGUCCGUAUUGCCCUCGAUGCCUUGGGCUGCACACAUGAUACAAUGGGUAUGACAACGGGAUGCGAUGCCGCGAGGCGGAGCUAAUCCUUAGAAACGUACCCUCAGUUCGGAUUGCAGGCUGCAACUCGCCUGCAUGAAGCCGGAAUUGCUAGUAAUCGCGGGUCAGCUAUACCGCGGUGAAUACGUUCUCGAGUCUUGUACUCACCGCCCGUCAAGUCAAGGAAGCUGGGAGUACCCGACGU
This 1500-nucleotide ribosomal RNA is filed under the name Patescibacteria group bacterium. RNAcentral's name for it is "bacterial SSU rRNA". It matches the Rfam family "Bacterial small subunit ribosomal RNA". The record is from RNAcentral.